UACAGAGGUCUCAAGCGUUGUUCGGAUUCAUUGGGCGUAAAGGGUUCGUAGGUGGCGCUGUAAGUCGGGUGUGAAAUUUCGGAGCUUAACUCCGAAACUGCAUUCGAUACUGCGGUGCUUGAGGACUGGAGAGGAGACUGGAAUUCAUGGUGUAGCAGUGAAAUGCGUAGAGAUCAUGAGGAAGACCAGUGGCGAAGGCGGGUCUCUGGACAGUUCCUGACACUGAGGCACGAAGGCCAGGGGAGCAAACGGG
This 253-nucleotide ribosomal RNA is filed under the name uncultured bacterium. Its description in RNAcentral is "partial 16S ribosomal RNA". It matches the Rfam family "Bacterial small subunit ribosomal RNA", at positions 524 to 776 of the family's 1533-position model. The record is from RNAcentral.